UGGUCACCUCUGGGCGGACCGCUUGGCCCCUUACGUGGCAACAUGGGCCCAAGCGCUACAGGACGUCGUUGAUGAGGCGCGUCCCCACACCGAGGGAAACUUUACGGAGUACCUACGGUGGUACGUACCUCGUACGCGGACUCGUGUCACCUACACCCCUGAUGAUGUCCAGGGCCACGUCGCAUCGACAACGGAGACAUACCCGGUGCAUUGGGACGAGGACGCCGCUUUAGCAGGAUGCAGCUGCUGCCAUGGACCGCGUCCGGCAAGGGCAUCACCUAAGUGCGUCGGAUGUUGCGAGCUUCAUUAGACGGGUUUUCGAUAAGACGACGCGCGCCCUGAAACUCACCUCCUGCCGAUCUACCACAGAUGCAGCAGGGCCGCCUCCCAGGACGAGUGGUGCACACGCCGAGUCGUCUCGGCCGUCAGACGUGCACCGACGUUCUUCAGUGUCGGCACCCACACGACCCCUCCUAUCACGUCUUGGAGGGUCCGAGCAACAUGGUCCGUCUCCACAAGUCUCGACGCAGCCUCGCAGAUUGAGCCCUGUACGUCCACAGUCAGGUUACUUCGGUGACGAGGCCGGUCCGUCUUCGGCGGCCCCACACCCUACCCCCCCCCCCCCCCCGCAAC
This is a long non-coding RNA of Phragmites australis (common reed), 633 nucleotides long. RefSeq lists it as uncharacterized. NCBI's taxonomy places the organism in Eukaryota, Viridiplantae, Streptophyta, Magnoliopsida, Poales, Poaceae. The record is from RefSeq and is a predicted model, not a curated record. The transcript is spliced from 4 exons.